AUGAACGCUGGCGGCGUGCCUAAUCCAUGCAAGUCGAGCGAACAGAUCAGGAGCUUGCUCCUUUGACGUUAGCGGCGGACGGGUGAGUAACACGUGGGUAACCUACCUAUAAGACUGGGAUAACUUCGGGAAACCGGAGCUAAUACCGGAUAACAUUUGGAACCGCAUGGUUCUAAAGUGAAAGAUGGUUUUGCUAUCACUUAUAGAUGGACCCGCGCCGUAUUAGCUAGUUGGUAAGGUAACGGCUUACCAAGGCAACGAUACGUAGCCGACCUGAGAGGGGGAAGGGCCACACAGGAAAUCAGAACCGGCCCAGAACCCCACGGGGGGCAGCGGGAGGGAGUUUGCCGAAAGGGGGGAAAGCCUGAAGGAGAAACGCCGGGGGAGUGAAGAAGGGUUUCGGCCCGUAAACCUCUGUUAUUAAGGAAGAAAAAACGUGUAAGUAACUGUCCACGUCUGGGCGGUACCAAAGCAGAAAGCCACGGCCAACUCCGU
Molecule: ribosomal RNA, 495 nt
Filed under: uncultured bacterium
Lineage: Bacteria
Description: partial 16S ribosomal RNA
Rfam family: Bacterial small subunit ribosomal RNA
Source: RNAcentral